GACCCCAGUAUUGGCAUAGUUGUGGUGUACAAUGGUAUUGUUAUUGGAGGCAAUGGUGGGAAGACGAGGCAUCGCGUGAAAUGAGGCGACUGGCGAGUUUUGAAUGUGGAGGAGACACCCCCCCCCCCUUCCUUGUGAUGGGAGCAGUGGUGGACGGAUGAUUGAAGUCGGACAGUGGGGAGCAGAAGGUGGUGGCAGAUGUCCCGGUAGAGCUAGAUGUGGUACUUGAAUUAGCCGAUAUGAUGGACGUACGAGUUUAAGGUGAGCGUGUGGAGAGGUUGUGGGUGGCCGGAACAGAACGAUGACGUAUCUAUUUGUGGACCAAUCGGCAUGGGGUGGAGAGGACGAGCAACGCCACAGUCCAGAGUAAUGGAAGAGGCCGUGAUCUUGAG
This is a long non-coding RNA of Procambarus clarkii (red swamp crayfish), 392 nucleotides long. RefSeq lists it as uncharacterized. Lineage: Eukaryota; Metazoa; Arthropoda; Malacostraca; Decapoda; Cambaridae. The record is from RefSeq and is a predicted model, not a curated record.